This is a long non-coding RNA of Triticum dicoccoides, 376 nucleotides long. RefSeq lists it as uncharacterized. The transcript is spliced from 3 exons. Lineage: Eukaryota; Viridiplantae; Streptophyta; Magnoliopsida; Poales; Poaceae. The record is from RefSeq and is a predicted model, not a curated record.
UGAAGCCCAUUAGAAAGCAUGGCAAUGGCUUAAGGUUAGCGCAUUUCGAGAAGCCAACAGAUCGCCGCCUACUUCCUUAGGCUGACAAUCACCUGCGGGAUAAAGUGCGAUGUUUUGCCUGAGACAGGAUCAAGGACUAGGCAACGUGGUCGUCGCGCACGAACCAGUGUAGCCCAUUGGCACUGGUAAAGUUGUAUCGGCGGCUCAGGCACAUGAAGACCAGGUUGCUCAUCAGUUGGAUGUGGAGUUGCGUCUGAGCUAGGACUCUCCCAUGAUCACUACAUAGAAAAAGAUACAUCCAGUUUGGUUUCUAAUGUCUGUUUUUGCCUAAGCAAAAAAGGUAACAAGCUUAUAUUGUCGUAUGGUUCUCAGUUUG